RNAcentral lists this ribosomal RNA (426 nucleotides) under uncultured bacterium. RNAcentral's name for it is "bacterial SSU rRNA". It matches the Rfam family "Bacterial small subunit ribosomal RNA", at positions 355 to 774 of the family's 1533-position model. The record is from RNAcentral.
UGGGGAAUUUUGGACAAUGGCGCAAGCCUGAUCCAGCCAUGCCGCGUGCGGGAAGAAGGCCUUCGGGUUGUAAACCGCUUUUGUCGGGGAAGAAAAGCCUUGGGUUAAUACCCUGGGGUAAUGACGGUACCUGAAGAAUAAGCACCGGCUAACCACGUGCCAGCAGCCGCGGUAAUACGUAGGGUGCAAGCGUUAAUCGGAAUUACUGGGCGUAAAGCGUGCGCAGGCGGUUAUGCAAGACAGAGGUGAAAUCCCCGGGCUCAACCUGGGAACUGCCUUUGUGACUGCAUAGCUAGAGUACGGUAGAGGGGGAUGGAAUUCCGCGUGUAGCAGUGAAAUGCGUAGAUAUGCGGAGGAACACCGAUGGCGAAGGCAAUCCCCUGGACCUGUACUGACGCUCAUGCACGAAAGCGUGGGGAGCAAACA